GACGAACCGUGCGAACGUUGUUCGGAUUCACUGGGCUUAAAGGGCGCGUAGGCGGGCGGUCAAGUCGGGGGUGAAAUCUUUCAGCUUAACUGGAAAAGUGCCUCCGAUACUGAUCGGCUCGAGGGAGGUAGGGGCAUGUGGAACUUCCGGUGGAGCGGUGAAAUGCGUAGAUAUCGGAAGGAACGCCGGUGGCGAAAGCGACGUGCUGGACCUCUUCUGACGCUGAGGCGCGAAAGCUAGGGGAGCAAACGGG
This 253-nucleotide ribosomal RNA is filed under the name uncultured bacterium. Its description in RNAcentral is "partial 16S ribosomal RNA". It matches the Rfam family "Bacterial small subunit ribosomal RNA", at positions 524 to 776 of the family's 1533-position model. The record is from RNAcentral.